RNA transcript from Vitis riparia (riverbank grape), 1521 nucleotides. It is a transcript of the gene named proton pump-interactor BIP103-like, with no coding region annotated. Lineage: Eukaryota; Viridiplantae; Streptophyta; Magnoliopsida; Vitales; Vitaceae. The record is from RefSeq and is a predicted model, not a curated record. The transcript has 6 exons.
GUAUUUGGGUCAUCUUUCACAUUUUCUAAGCUUGAUUUCAUUUUCACGGAAAAUAUAUAUACUUCUGUUCACAGUUCCAUUUUUCUGAAUAUGGAAGAAGCCAACUUCAUGGAGAAUUCUCCCAUUGAAAUGCCUGCCAAGGAGCAAAUCCAUCAGUGUCAUUUCCUCAAAUUUCAAUCACAUGAUCAGCACCUGAACUUGAAAGCUAGAUUUAAAGAGGCUCAGAAGCUAGUUGAAAAAUGGAAUCAAGAUCGGAAUCGGAUCAACGAAGAACUGAGGAAAAAAUUGGUACAUCAAAACUGUUUGAGUUGGUUCUUGAGCCGUUUAAGCUACAAGGAUCAGGGUCUGAAAACAAGCAUUGCUUACAAGAGGAGGCAGCUCGACCCUCUACUAGUAGCUCUAGACAAAUUGUGUUGUGGAAACAAAGCAUACCAAGUUGGACCUAUCUUUUCUGGGGGAGAACUUAAUCCUUUUAGCUUGCAUCACAGGAUGCAUAAGACCAAAAAUUUAGCUGAGGAGAAGCAGCUACUUAGAGAAAUAAAUGCAAGCCAAAGGACGGCUGUUAGCUCAUGUCUUUCGUUGGAAGUGCUUAACUAUAGUAUCCACUCUUCAUACCAAAUGAUGGAAUCAUUGGAAUGGGAGAGAAGAAGUUCAGCUGAGAAAAAGCACUUCCUCAGAGAGAUCAAAGAGCUUGAAGUGCAAAGGGACAACAUGAUCUCUAAUGCUAAUUUGAAGGGAAAGAUUUUGGAUUCAUUGGGUUCAAAAGAAGCUAUAAAAACCCAGAUCAAGCUUAUCAGAACUGAAUUGGAUGGAAUGAAGAAGAAACAACAGUCAGUUAAGGCUGAAAUUGAACAGGCUGAGAAAGAGAUGGAGGCCAUGGAGAUGUAUAUAGGUUCUUUACAGGAGAAAUUGGUAGCUAUAAGCCAAGAAAGGAAAGGAGCAGUCAAACACCUUAAUGAACUGUGAAAGCAAUGCGAUAAAGCGGUAUGCUGACCCAAUCUGAUGAUUGUGUGGUCUCAUUUGUAACUUGUUUUAUAUAUGGAGUCAAUAUCCUAUCUCUAACUAUUCAAUCCAGAAGAAAGACAUGACAUCCUCUUUUGUCAUCGAGUUAAUUCUUGAUGACUUGCUACAAAGAAGGAUGUUGCUGCCCACGCCAGACUUGAGGAAUGUCAACAGAAGAUUAUCAAAGGAUGGAUUAAUGAUCAGGAAGCCAAGAUAAACCACUUGUUUUGAAGCAACAAAGUACACAACAAACCAGUGAGGAAAGCAAGCCUUCAAUGGAAAAUCAUUCACUAAAUCAUCAGACUCUAGUUUCAAAACUAGAGGAAUCCAAGCUUGUUUCUGUAUUAAUUAAUUGAAGCCUGUCUCAGGAAUGAACAUGGAACUCCAGUGUAAAACACAAUAUGUUGUGCUGAAAAUUGUAUUUGGUUCCUCCAGGGACUGGUGGUUUGAUAUUGUCAAUCUCCUAGCUAGUUGGUUUGACUUGCAUGGGGAUUGUAAUAAAAACUAGAUUUUUGUAAA